This 489-nucleotide ribosomal RNA is filed under the name uncultured bacterium. Its description in RNAcentral is "partial 16S ribosomal RNA". It matches the Rfam family "Bacterial small subunit ribosomal RNA", at positions 28 to 506 of the family's 1533-position model. The record is from RNAcentral.
GAUGAACGCUGGCUACAGGCUUAACACAUGCAAGUCGAGGGGAAACGACGGGGAAGCUUGCUUCCCGGGCGUCGACCGGCGCACGGGUGAGUAACGCGUAUCCAACCUGCCUCUGACUGAGGGAUAACCCGUCGAAAGUCGGCCUAAUACCUCAUGGCAUCGUCUGCGGGCAUCCAACGACGAUUAAAGAUUUCAUCGGUCAGAGAUGGGGAUGCGUCUGAUUAGCUUGUUGGCGGGGUAACGGCCCACCAAGGCGACGAUCAGUAGGGGUUCUGAGAGGAAGGUCCCCCACAUUGGAACUGAGACACGGUCCAAACUCCUACGGGAGGCAGCAGUGAGGAAUAUUGGUCAAUGGGCGAGAGCCUGAACCAGCCAAGUAGCGUGCAGGAUGACGGCCCUAUGGGUUGUAAACUGCUUUUAUGCGGGGAUAAAGUGAGGGACGUGUCCUUCAUUGCAGGUACCGCAUGAAUAAGGACCGGCUAAUUCCGU